Molecule: transfer RNA, 75 nt
Filed under: Trichonephila inaurata madagascariensis
Lineage: Eukaryota; Metazoa; Arthropoda; Arachnida; Araneae; Nephilidae
Description: tRNA-Cys
Rfam family: tRNA
About the family: Transfer RNA (tRNA) molecules are approximately 80 nucleotides in length. Their secondary structure includes four short double-helical elements and three loops (D, anti-codon, and T loops).
Source: RNAcentral
GAAGGGAUAGCUCAGUGGUAGAGCAUUCGACUGCAGAUCGAGUGGUCCAUAGUUCAAAUCCGGGUGUCCCCUUCU